UACAGAGGGGGCAAGCGUUGUUCGGAAUUACUGGGCGUAAAGGGCGCGUAGGCGGCCUGUUAAGUCGAACGUGAAAUCCCCGGGCUCAACCCGGGAACUGCGUCCGAUACUGGCAGGCUUGAAUCCGGGAGAGGGAUGCGGAAUUCCAGGUGUAGCGGUGAAAUGCGUAGAUAUCUGGAGGAACACCUGUGGUGUAGACGGCUUUCUGGACCAUAGCUGACGCUGAGACACGAAAGCGUGGGUAGCAAACAGG
This 253-nucleotide ribosomal RNA is filed under the name uncultured bacterium. RNAcentral's name for it is "partial 16S ribosomal RNA". It matches the Rfam family "Bacterial small subunit ribosomal RNA", at positions 524 to 776 of the family's 1533-position model. The record is from RNAcentral.